Molecule: long non-coding RNA, 1161 nt
Filed under: Nicotiana benthamiana
Lineage: Eukaryota; Viridiplantae; Streptophyta; Magnoliopsida; Solanales; Solanaceae
Description: long non-coding RNA (NBEN_LNC040127)
Source: RNAcentral
GCAAAAACAGUCUUAUCAUAAGUGCUAGAGAUGACCUUAGGUGAAAAAGUGACAGGUCUACCUUCAUCACUUCAUUAAUAUGUGAGAUAAAACAAACCAUAUGGUAAACAAGAGGCAGAGGAUUAGAAUUCUCUAGUAUAUACUGACGAAUCAACAUAAAUCAGUCAAACCUUUUGUUUUGCAUGAGACACCAAGUACAAACAUGUAUCAGGUAGUCAAAGAGCUAAAAGAAUAAGUUCUUGGUAAAUGAAUAGUUUCAACAAAAUGGGCAAAUACAAGAUGUUUAAAUUUCAUGUUUUUAGGGCCAAACUAUAGGGGAUUUUCAUAUAGCAUAACUUUUACUUCGUUCAGAGAGACUUUAAAAUCCUUUGGCUAAGAGUUUCAACAAACACACCAUAACUAUGAAAUUUUGCAGAAAAUAUUUUCUCAAGUUUAUAAGCAUCAAGCAGAAUAUGAGUACCCAACAUCAUAGAUUUCAAAUUGUCUAUAUCAUUCACAAACAAGUUUGCAUAGAACAUUCUCAUAGAUUCUCCAUACAUAAUGUUUCCAAAUGUAGCAAACAGAAAUGAAGUCAUAAAUUGAGACAUCACAGUGUAUAUCCUUCAUGAGGAGACUUAAAGCGCGACCGUAUGUCAUAGAUUUUGAUUUGUACGACUCAAGAUUUGAUUUCUCCAGGAGUCCGUAGAACCUCAGCCCAAAAUCUACACAUUCAAUUUUUCCCUUCUUGCAUGCAAGCCUUUUUGGGGUCUGGUCUACAAGUCUCAUGCUGGCCCAUUUUUUGAUUAAUACUUGGUCUGCUUUGAGAGGGUCGUAUUAAGGGAUGAUUUUAGGUCAACAGUUUCUUUUGGGUUUUGGACCUUUCGAAAAUGGUGGCAACGCCGUGUGGCAGUGAAAUAGGAGAAGGUUUUAGGUUUAGCUAUAGCGGAUGAGUGUCUGAAAAGUGGUGAUGAAGAGUGAGGAGGAUGAUUUAAUAAGGUUGAUGGAGUGUGUGAAGGGUUGCCUCGAUUGAAGAAAAAGGAGAUGAAGUGAUUGUUCCAGGAGUUACUUCGACAGUUCAUAUAGCAGGUAAUUAUGACAAUCAGUCAUGCAAUUAAUAGAUACCAUCAAAAGAAUAUAAGGUGCAUAAGGCAAUAAAAUAAUUUUAAUAACAUAGUAGAAUAG